GCUGGUCCACGAAAACCCACCACUGCAGUGACUAAUCAAUAUCCCACCAAUCAAUAAAAGUUUCGACAGCAUGACAUGACAAUUAUAUUACUACCCAGCCUGUUAAGGCAAAACAAAUAGUUCAUACAAUUUCCACACAAUUUCCAAUUCAACCAUUCAUGCCAAUAUCACCAUAAGCCAUUCAAUUCAAACCAUAAAUUUACAACACAAACAAACAGUCUCCAAUUACUCAAUUUCUAAAAUCAUCAUUCAAUUUCAAAAUGAUUUAUAAAACUCAUUUCAUUUAAUCACAUUUUACUUAUAAAACAUAAGGAUUUACAUUUAAACUCAUUUUUCUAUAAAAUCACAAAAAUGAAUAAAAACUACUUUAGAUAAUUAAGACAAUAAUAAGGUUACUCACAAUAUCGAGAAUCGAGGUACUCCUAAUCCCGAUCUUCGAGUAUAAUCUCCUUACCCUUAUCGAAAGUUUCACCACCUAGACAUAAUGCACAACAAGCAAUUUACUAUAUUUGUGCUAAACCAUUAUAAACUAAUUUAGGCUCUAUAUGAAUGCAUGAAAUGGGAUGUGAAAUGUUCAGAUUAUUAUCUAAAUACUGUGUUCUACAUAGGUUCAAUUGUGUAUGGGGCUGAAAUGGUAUUGACCUAAUUCACACUAUACACCGGUUAAUUGGGCAAAAUAUCCAAUUCAACUCCAAAUAAAUUCAUUUCACUUCCAAUACUCCAAAUCAUCAAAUAUAAGCUAGAUAACAUGAAUUAUAGCAAAAUCAUCCUCAACAUUUUCUCUUGGAAAAAUUCAGCCAUUGAGGGUUCAUAAAUAAUAUGUGGUUUUUUUUCAUGCUUGAUUUUUACACUUUACAUCAUAAAACGACUAAAAAUACCUAACUAGCAUGAAAUUCAUCAAAGUCCAUUUUCCAAUUUCUCUUUUGAAAAAUUCAGCCAAUGGGUGUGGGUGAAGGGCAUGAAAUUUGUUGCUUGUUUUCCAUGCUAAACAUCACCAAACAACUAAAAACACUAGAAUAACAUGAAAUCUAGCUAAAUCCAAGAUCAAAACCCCUCCCCCCAUGUCCGGCCAACAAAGGUAUCUUCAUGUAAACUUGAUUGUCAACCAUGGAAAAUGAAAAAGAAUGCAUAGGAAAGGUAGAUCACAAGCUAAAAUCAAGAAAUCUUACCUUUACUUGAUUAAUUCCUUGAAAUCCACCAAUUUUCCCUUGAAUUUUUGCUCACUAGGGUUUGUUCUCUUCUUUUUUCUCUUUGUUCUUGUCUUAGCCGACCAUGAAGAAUGAAAUAAGAGAGGU
This 1295-nucleotide long non-coding RNA is filed under the name Theobroma cacao (cacao). Its description in RNAcentral is "long non-coding RNA (TCAC_LNC001054)". The record is from RNAcentral. Lineage: Eukaryota; Viridiplantae; Streptophyta; Magnoliopsida; Malvales; Malvaceae.